Molecule: ribosomal RNA, 274 nt
Filed under: uncultured bacterium
Lineage: Bacteria
Description: partial 16S ribosomal RNA
Rfam family: Bacterial small subunit ribosomal RNA
Source: RNAcentral
AUACGGAGGGUGCAAGCGUUAAUCGGAAUUACUGGGCGUAAAGAGUACGUAGGCGGCCUACUAAGUCAGAUGUGAAAGCCCAGGGCUCAACCUUGGAACUGCAUUUGAAACUGGUAGGCUAGAGUAUGGUAGAGGGGGGUAGAAUUUCUGGUGUAGCGGUGAAAUGCGUAGAUAUCAGAAGGAAUACCAGUGGCGAAGGCGGCCCCCUGGCCCAAUACUGACGCUCAGACCCGAAAGCGUGGGGAGCAAACAGGAUUAGAAACCCUGGUAGUCC